This 166-nucleotide unclassified non-coding RNA is filed under the name soil metagenome. Its description in RNAcentral is "partial contains 5.8S ribosomal RNA, internal transcribed spacer 2, and large subunit ribosomal RNA". The record is from RNAcentral.
AACGCACGAGACCUGCGGACCUGCGGAAGGAUCAUUAGUGAACGCCCUCGCGGGCUUAUAACUAUUCCAAACCUCUGUGAACCGUGCCCUUCGGGGCUAUUUUACAAACAUGGUGUAAUGAACGUCAUAUAUCAUAACAAAACAAAACUUUUAACAAUGGAUCUCU